GAUGAGCAUGGGGAUGGUUGGUUGGACUCAGGUAAGGCCAGUGACCUUUCUGUCUGUAGCUGGCCUGUGGAACCCAUUCAGUGGACUCCUUUCCCACUUCUGCAGCAACUGGCUUCCCACAGGACACCCACAGUGAGGGUGUCAAGGCCACGGUCCUACUGUGAAGGCAUGGAGCUGGUAGACCUGGGGAAGAGCUGGACUGCUUGACAUACACAAAGAAGAAUAAUAUCUGUUCUGACACUGGUAUUUGCAGCUUAUUGUUGUAUUCUAGGCCUCAAAUGUUCUUGUUUUGUUGAUAACAACUGUAAAACAAUAUGUAAAUGUGUGUGUAUAUUAAGUGUAUAUUUUUGGUAAAUUGUUGCUACAUUUUCAAUGUGUUUCUUAUAUUUUCCCUCUAACCUUCUGAUGUAGGGUGUAAAAAUAGAAAAAGAAAGAGGCAGUCUGAAUGUCUAUGGCACAGAUUUGUAGAUAAUGCUUUAAUAAACAUUAAUCGUACUCAGGGCAAUUCAAACAAGUCAUCGCUUAGCAAGGAAAGUUCAAUUGUUUGUCACAUUACAUAUGCAAAGGCAGUUAAAGUGCUCAACAUAAGGCAUUAAAUCAUUUUACAGGGUGAAUUACAUAUAUAAAACAUAAAUAUGAUAUAAAGAUAAAUCAAGAUGUAAGUGAAAAGUGCUUUAAUAAAUUUGACAUUUUGGGAAA
Molecule: long non-coding RNA, 699 nt
Organism: Micropterus salmoides (largemouth bass)
Lineage: Eukaryota; Metazoa; Chordata; Actinopteri; Centrarchiformes; Centrarchidae
Exons: 2
Source: RefSeq, a predicted model, not a curated record